RNAcentral lists this microRNA precursor (87 nucleotides) under Medicago truncatula (barrel medic). RNAcentral describes it as "MIR2617 microRNA precursor family". It matches the Rfam family "MIR2617 microRNA precursor family". Lineage: Eukaryota; Viridiplantae; Streptophyta; Magnoliopsida; Fabales; Fabaceae. The record is from Rfam by way of RNAcentral.
AUGUAGUGUGACAUGCCCAUUUGGAAAUUACACUGAUGCAUGUUUUAUUAAUUAAUUGAUUUUUGGGAAACGGGGUAUUACAAAAAA